RNAcentral lists this long non-coding RNA (291 nucleotides) under Rhinopithecus bieti (black snub-nosed monkey). RNAcentral describes it as "lncRNA (ENSRBIG00000046128.1)". Lineage: Eukaryota; Metazoa; Chordata; Mammalia; Primates; Cercopithecidae. The record is from RNAcentral.
CUAAAUUGUUGUAGUUACAAGUCUGUUAAUACAAUGCUCUUGAUUCCUGUCUUGUGCUGAUCAUCUGGGAGGAAUCAAAGCAAUCAGCAUUAUACUGCUAAAACAUGCUGCCCAAAACUGUCAUCAUUUCACAUUCUCAGGACACAUCUUACAAAGGACACGUUGAAAUGCCACAUGCUGUUGGUGAGAAUGACCCCUAUUCCAGACUCUACUUUUCAAGUUCAGAGAAAAAAAAAAUUUAAUCUCAUUUGGGACAUCAACUAUUAUAACUGUUGUGAUUUUCAAGAUCUG